UACGGAGGGGGUUAGCGUUGUUCGGAAUUACUGGGCGUAAAGCGCGCGUAGGCGGAUUAGAAAGUUGGGGGUGAAAUCCCGGGGCUCAACCUCGGAACUGCCUCCAAAACUGCUAGUCUAGAGUUCGAGAGAGGUGAGUGGAAUUCCGAGAGUAGAGGUGAAAUUCGUAGAUAUUCGGAGGAACACCAGUGGCGAUGGCGGCUCACUGGCUCGAUACUGACGCUGAGGUGCGAAAGUGUGGGGAGCAAACAGC
This 253-nucleotide ribosomal RNA is filed under the name uncultured bacterium. Its description in RNAcentral is "partial 16S ribosomal RNA". It matches the Rfam family "Bacterial small subunit ribosomal RNA", at positions 524 to 776 of the family's 1533-position model. The record is from RNAcentral.